RNAcentral lists this ribosomal RNA (608 nucleotides) under uncultured bacterium. RNAcentral's name for it is "bacterial SSU rRNA". It matches the Rfam family "Bacterial small subunit ribosomal RNA", at positions 888 to 1498 of the family's 1533-position model. The record is from RNAcentral.
GCAAGAUUAAAACUCAAAGGAAUAGACGGGGACCCGCACAAGCGGUGGAGCAUGUGGUUUAAUUCGACGAUACGCGAAGACCCUUACCUGGCCUUGACAUAGAAAGAACUUUCCAGAGACGGAUUGGUGCUAGUUUACUAGAGCUUUCAUACAGGUGCUGCACGGCUGUCGUCAGCUCGUGUCGUGAGAUGUUGGGUUAAGUCCCGCAACGAGCGCAACCCUCGUGUUUAGUUACUAACAGUUCGGCUGAGGACUCUAGACAGACUGCCUGGGUAACCAGGAGGAAGGUGAGGACGACGUCAAGUCAUCAUGGCCCUUACGGCCAGGGCUACACACGUGCUACAAUGGGGUAUACAAAGAGCCGCAAUACCGCGAGGUGGAGCAAAUCUCAUAAAAUAUCUCCCAGUUCGGAUAGCAGUCUGCAACUCGACUGCUUGAAGUUGGAAUCGCUAGUAAUCGUGAAUCAGCAACGUCACGGUGAAUACGUUCCCGGGUCUUGUACUCACCGCCCGUCACACCAUGGGAAUUGAAUUCAUUCGAAGCGGGGAUGCUAAAAUAGCUACCUUCCACAGUGGAUUUAGUAACUAGGGUGAAGUCGUAACAAGGUA